Molecule: ribosomal RNA, 745 nt
Filed under: uncultured cyanobacterium
Lineage: Bacteria; Bacillati; Cyanobacteriota
Description: bacterial SSU rRNA
Rfam family: Bacterial small subunit ribosomal RNA
Source: RNAcentral
AGAGUUUGAUCCUGGCUCAGGAUGAACGCUGGCGGUCUGCUUAACACAUGCAAGUCGAACGGGACUCUUCGGAGUUCAGUGGCGGACGGGUGAGUAACGCGUGAGAAUCUGCCUUCAGGUCGGGGACAACCACUGGAAACGGUGGCUAAUACCCGAUGUGCGCAACGUGAAAGAUUUAUCGCCUGAAGAGGAGCUCGCGUCUGAUUAGCUAGUUGGUGGGGUAAAAGCUCACCAAGGCGACGAUCAGUAGCUGGUCUGAGAGGAUGAUCAGCCACACUGGGACUGAGACACGGCCCAGACUCCUACGGGAGGCAGCAGUGGGGAAUUUUCCGCAAUGGGCGAAAGCCUGACGGAGCAAGACCGCGUGAGGGAGGAAGGCUCUUGGGUUGUAAACCUCUUUUCUCAGGGAAGAACAAAAUGACGGUACCUGAGGAAUCAGCCUCGGCUAACUCCGUGCCAGCAGCCGCGGUAAUACGGAGGAGGCAAGCGUUAUCCGGAAUUAUUGGGCGUAAAGCGUCCGCAGGUGGCACUUCAAGUCUGUCGUCAAAGACUGGGGCUUAACCCUGGAAAGGCGGUGGAAACUGAAGCGCUAGAGUGUGGUAGGGGUAGAGGGAAUUCCCGGUGUAGCGGUGAAAUGCGUAGAGAUCGGGAAGAACAUCGGUGGCGAAAGCGCUCUACUGGACCACAACUGACACUCAGGGACGAAAGCUAGGGGAGCGAAUGGGAUUAGAUACCCCUGUAGUCC